Molecule: transfer RNA, 63 nt
Filed under: Podarcis lilfordi (Lilford's wall lizard)
Lineage: Eukaryota; Metazoa; Chordata; Lepidosauria; Squamata; Lacertidae
Description: tRNA.Ala
Source: RNAcentral
GUCAGCUCAGGGGUAGUGCAUCAGCUUUGCAUGCCAAAGGCCCCAGGUUCAAUCCCUGGCACA